RNAcentral lists this ribosomal RNA (465 nucleotides) under uncultured bacterium. Its description in RNAcentral is "partial 16S ribosomal RNA". It matches the Rfam family "Bacterial small subunit ribosomal RNA", at positions 28 to 507 of the family's 1533-position model. The record is from RNAcentral.
GAUGAACGCUGGCGGCGUGCUUAACACAUGCAAGUCGAACGGAAAGGCUCCUGCUUGCAGGGGUACUCGAGUGGCGAACGGGUGAGUAACACGUGGGUGAUCUGCCCUGCACUUCGGGAUAAGCCUGGGAAACUGGGUCUAAUACCGGAUAGGACCACAUUUUGGAUGGUGUGGUGGAAAGUUUUUCGGUGUGGGAUGAGCUCGCGGCCUAUCAGCUUGUUGGUGGGGUAAUGGCCUACCAAGGCGUCGACGGGUAGCCGGCCUGAGAGGGUGUACGGCCACAUUGGGACUGAGAUACGGCCCAGACUCCUACGGGAGGCAGCAGUGGGGAAUAUUGCACAAUGGGCGCAAGCCUGAUGCAGCGACGCCGCGUGGGGGAUGACGGCCUUCGGGUUGUAAGCUCCUUUCGCUAGGGACGAAGCGCAAGUGACGGUACCUGGAGAAGAAGCACCGGCUAACUACGUG